This 550-nucleotide ribosomal RNA is filed under the name uncultured Funneliformis. RNAcentral's name for it is "SSU rRNA". It matches the Rfam family "Eukaryotic small subunit ribosomal RNA", at positions 548 to 1098 of the family's 1831-position model. Lineage: Eukaryota; Fungi; Glomeromycota; Glomeromycetes; Glomerales; Glomeraceae. The record is from RNAcentral.
UUGGAGGGCAAGUCUGGUGCCAGCAGCCGCGGUAAUUCCAGCUCCAAUAGCGUAUAUUAAAGUUGUUGCAGUUAAAAAGCUCGUAGUUGAAUUUCGGGAUCAAUGUUUCGGUCAUGCCGUUGGUAUGUACUGAUAUUAUUGGUUUCUCACCUUCUAAAGAACCGUAAUGCCAUUAAUUUGGUGUCACGGGGAAUUAGGGCUGUUACCUUGAAAAAAUUAGAGUGUUUAAAGCGGGCUCACGCUUGAAUACAUUAGCAUGGAAUAAUGAAAUAGGACAUCGCAUUCUAUUUUGUUGGUUUCUAGGAUCGAUGUAAUGAUUAAUAGGGAUAGUUGGGGGCAUUAGUAUUCAAUUGUCAGAGGUGAAAUUCUUGGAUUUAUUGAAGACUAACUACUGCGAAAGCAUUUGCCAAGGAUGUUUUCAUUAAUCAAGAACGAAAGUUAGGGGAUCGAAGACGAUCAGAUACCGUCGUAGUCUUAACCAUAAACUAUGCCGACUAGGGAUCGGAUGAUGUUGAUUUUUUAAUGACUCAUUCGGCGCCUUACGGGAAAC